Small nuclear RNA from Gorilla gorilla gorilla (western lowland gorilla), 107 nucleotides. The record is from Ensembl. NCBI's taxonomy places the organism in Eukaryota, Metazoa, Chordata, Mammalia, Primates, Hominidae.
GUACUCACUUUGGCAGCACAUAUACUAAAAUUGGAACGAUACAGCGAAGAUUAGCAUGGCCCCUGCACAAGGAUGACACGCAAAUUUGUGAAGUGUUCCAUAUUUUU